This 68-nucleotide transfer RNA is filed under the name Marmota monax (woodchuck). Its description in RNAcentral is "tRNA.Val". Lineage: Eukaryota; Metazoa; Chordata; Mammalia; Rodentia; Sciuridae. The record is from RNAcentral.
GGUUUGUGGCUCAGUGGUUCAGUGCUCACCUCACAUGUGUGAGGUCCUGGGUUCGAUCCUCAGCACCA